GAACUACGAGUCGCUGAUGCUCGUGCGGUGCCGAGAGGCAGCAGAGGAGGGCCGGGUGUGAAAUCCACGGCUGUGGGAACCAGUGCUGCUCCCUCCUCCCACCGAGCCCAAGUGUCACAUUGGUGGCAUCCCAGCGCAGGGGCUGUGCAGCACCCACAGAUGGGGAGGUGCAUAGGCAAGCUGGCACGGAGCGGCUUUGCCCUCUCCCGGGGCUGACGACAAGCUGGUCACAUUCUUGAAGCCAGAAUAUGACACUUUUACAGCCUGCCUGGCGGUGACCUCUGGAAUUCCAGAAUAAUUUUCCCUCCCCUUCCUGGUGCCCUCACGUGACCCAGGAACACAAACAUCUGAGAGACCUCUGGGCAUCUUCACAUCUGCUGGUAGCAGUGACCUCCAGAAGCAUUUGGUUCUGCCAGAGCAAUGACAGCACCUCUGCCAUGACACUGCCAGCGGGAGAGCUAGAUGCAACCGGGAGUUGUUUGGUUUCCUGAGGAAAAGAGAACACUUCCAGAAACAAUUAAGCUGAAGGCAAAACCAGGUGGAGGGGGACAUGUGAGCCCUAGCAACCAUCACAGUAGGCAUGCUCUGUCCCUGGAAGAAGGGCAGGUGAGAAAAGCAAAUGGGCCCUGCUGUCUGGAUGAUGCCACACAAAACCCAUGGAGGAUAUACCCUUCAAAAUUGACAAAAAUAGCAUUCAGAGGCAGAGCAAUGGAACUAGGACACACUGUGGCAGUGCAAACUCCUGCUGCCACCAGUAGCCCUUGCUGCCACUGGAGUUGUACUGGCAUUAGUAAUGACAGAAAAAUUCAAGAGCCAUCUCUGGAGGGCAUUGUCCCAAGAUACUUUCUACUGAUACUUUCCCAGAAUGAGUUCAGAGGAGCUGUAAGCAGCCACUGUUGGCACACCUGGGCAAUGUCACAUGCUGUAGGGAGAUGCAAGGGAAUGGAAAUACAUGGAAACAUGAUGCUACCAGAAAGAACUAUAGCUGUAAAAUUUAAUAGUGUGAUUUGUGAAGCUGACAACACCCACCAUAAGUCACAAAAUAAAACAGAAAUGCACGGAAACUGUAAAUCUUUCUGA
This 1080-nucleotide long non-coding RNA is filed under the name Cyanistes caeruleus (blue tit). Its description in RNAcentral is "lncRNA (ENSCCEG00000019287.1)". Lineage: Eukaryota; Metazoa; Chordata; Aves; Passeriformes; Paridae. The record is from RNAcentral.